UACGGAGGGGGCUAGCGUUGUUCGGAAUUACUGGGCGUAAAGCGUACGUAGGCGGCUUUGUAGGUUAGAGGUGAAAGCCCGGAGCUCAACUCCGGAAUUGCCUUUAAGACUGCAUCGCUUGAAUCAUGGAGAGGUUAGUGGAAUUCCGAGUGUAGAGGUGAAAUUCGUAGAUAUUGGGAAGAACACCGGUGGCGAAGGCGGCGCUCUGGACCGAGACUGACGCUGAGGCGCGAAAGCGUGGGGAGCAAACAGG
This 253-nucleotide ribosomal RNA is filed under the name uncultured bacterium. RNAcentral describes it as "partial 16S ribosomal RNA". It matches the Rfam family "Bacterial small subunit ribosomal RNA", at positions 524 to 776 of the family's 1533-position model. The record is from RNAcentral.